RNAcentral lists this ribosomal RNA (222 nucleotides) under uncultured bacterium. RNAcentral describes it as "partial 23S ribosomal RNA". The record is from RNAcentral.
GGAGAAAGGCGUGAGCUAGCCGGAGAUGGUUACCGGUGUAAGCGUUUCAAGGUGCCGCGGAAUGGAGAAACGUUCCCAAGCUGAGGCGUGAGUCCGAGCACCUAAGGGUGCGAAGUAGUAUCUGUUCAUGGCUUCCUAGAAAAGCUCUAAACACCAUAAACUAUUAACGCCUGUACCCGAAACCGACACAGGUAGGGUAGUUGAGAAUACUAAGGGGCGCGA